AUUGAACGCUGGCGGCAUGCCUUACACAUGCAAGUCGAACGGCAGCACGGGAGCAAUCCUGGUGGCGAGUGGCGAACGGGUGAGUAAUACAUCGGAACGUGCCCAAUCGUGGGGGAUAACGUAGCGAAAGCUACGCUAAUACCGCAUACGAACUACGGAUGAAAGCGGGGGAUCGCAAGACCUCGCGCGAAUGGAGAGGCCGAUGGCAGAUUAGGUAGUUGGUGAGGUAAAGGCUCACCAAGCCUGCGAUCUGUAGCUGGUCUGAGAGGACGACCAGCCACACUGGGACUGAGACACGGCCCAGACUCCUACGGGAGGCAGCAGUGGGGAAUUUUGGACAAUGGGCGCAAGCCUGAUCCAGCAAUGCCGCGUGCAGGAUGAAGGCCUUCGGGUUGUAAACUGCUUUUGUACGGAACGAAACGGUCCUUUCUAAUACAAGGGGCUAAUGACGGUACCGUAAGAAUAAGCACCGGCUAACUACGUGCCAGCCGCCGCGGUAA
RNAcentral lists this ribosomal RNA (500 nucleotides) under uncultured bacterium. RNAcentral's name for it is "partial 16S ribosomal RNA". It matches the Rfam family "Bacterial small subunit ribosomal RNA", at positions 30 to 523 of the family's 1533-position model. The record is from RNAcentral.